Molecule: long non-coding RNA, 1140 nt
Filed under: Chlamydomonas reinhardtii
Lineage: Eukaryota; Viridiplantae; Chlorophyta; Chlorophyceae; Chlamydomonadales; Chlamydomonadaceae
Description: long non-coding RNA (CREI_LNC001090)
Source: RNAcentral
UUCGCGCCGCGGCUAGGCUUCCGCCCCAAACACAACUCAGCGGCGUUGGCGCCUGAUGCUAACUGCAGUCACCUGGCUACGUCUUCGCGCCGCGGCUAGGUCUCCGCGGCGCGCCCCAAACACAACUCAGCGGCCUUGGCGCAUGAUGCUAACUGCAGUCACCUGGCUACGUCUAUGCGCCGCGGCUAGGCUUCCGCGGCGCGCCCCAAACACAACUCAGCGGCGUUGGCGCAUGAUGCUAACUGCAGUCACCUGGCUACGUCUAUGCGCCGCGGCUAGGCUUCCGCCCCAAACACAACUCAGCGGCGUUGGCGCAUGAUGCUAACUGCAAUCACCUGGCUACGUCUUCGCGCCGCGGCUAGGUCUCCGCGGCGCGCCCCAAACACAACUCAGCGGCGUUGGCGCAUGAUGCUAACUGCAAUCACCUGGCUACGUCUUCGCGCCGCGGCUAGGUCUCCGCGGCGCGCCCCAAACACAACUCAGCGGCGUUGGCGCAUGAUGCUAACUGCAAUCACCUGGCUACGUCUAUGCGCCGCGGCUAGGUCUCCGCGGCGCGCCCCAAACACAACUCAGCGGCGUUGGCGCAUGAUGCUAACUGCAAUCACCUGGCUACGUCUAUGCGCCGCGGCUAGGUCUCCGCGGCGCGCCCCAAACACAACUCAGCGGCGUUGGCGCAUGAUGCUAACUGCAAUCACCUGGCUACGUCUAUGCGCCGCGGCUAGGUCUCCGCGGCGCGCCCCAAACACAACUCAGCGGCGUUGGCGCAUGAUGCUAACUGCAAUCACCUGGCUACGUCUAUGCGCCGCGGCUAGGUCUCCGCGGCGCGCCCCAAACACAACUCAGCGGCGUUGGCGCAUGAUGCUAACUGCAAUCACCUGGCUACGUCUAUGCGCCGCGGCUAGGUCUCCGCGGCGCGCCCCAAACACAACUCAGCGGCGUUGGCGCAUGAUGCUAACUGCAAUCACCUGGCUACGUCUAUGCGCCGCGGCUAGGUCUCCGCGGCGCGCCCCAAACACAACUCAACGGCGUUGGCGCAUGAUGCUAACUGCAGUCACCUGGCUACGUCUAUGCGCCGCUCCUGGGCCUCCGUCCGUGCUCCGCGGCCAGCAGCGCCGACAGCUUCGCACCCUUUCCGGCGCG